This 914-nucleotide long non-coding RNA is filed under the name Trifolium pratense (red clover). RNAcentral's name for it is "long non-coding RNA (TPRA_LNC000919)". The record is from RNAcentral. Lineage: Eukaryota; Viridiplantae; Streptophyta; Magnoliopsida; Fabales; Fabaceae.
AUAUGUUGAUGCUGGAACUGGAGGGCUAUGUUCAGUCUCAGAUUUGGCUGAGCUCUCGUCACUACUAGAAACAUAAUUUUUCUCAGAUUUUGAUGCAGGUUCAGAUGCAUCAGAUGUGGCGAACUUCAAAGUAUCUAUUCCAAAGAAAUCAUCUGAUGAUAAUUUUUUCUCAAAUUUGGCCGAGCUCUCGUCCCUACUUGAAACAUAAUUUUUCUCAGAUUUUGAUGCAGGUUCAGAUGCGGUGAACUUAAAAGUAUCUAUUCCAAAUAAAUCAUCUGAUGAUAAUUUUUUCUCAUAUUUGGCCGAGCUCUCGUCACUACUAGAAACAUAAUUUUUCUCAGAUUUCGAUGCAGGUUCAGAUGCGGUGAACUUCAAAGUAUCUAUUCCAAAUAAAUCAUCUGAUGAUAAUUUUUUCUCAUAUUUGGCCGAGCUCUCAUCACUACUAGAAACAUAAUUUUUCUCAGAUUUCGAUGCAGGUUCAGAUGCGGUGAACUUCAAAGUAUCUAUUCCAAAGAAAUCAUCCGAUGAUAAGUCUGAUAAAGAGGAAGAACUCGACUUUCUACCUGAUGAAGAUAAGCUUUUGGUUCUUUUGAUAUGCGUCUCACCACUUUCAUCUCUAGUGAUUUCAUCUAUAUGCCUUUCUGAAUCACUACUGCUGCUUUCACAUCCAUUUAAUACCUCAAUGCUAGAAUCUCUAAUACUUGGACUUCCAUUGAUAGCUUCUGGAUAUAUUUCUUCUAUCUUAUCUUCUAUGCUAUGAUCAAAUGUUUCUGUAUACAUUUGAACACUUGUAGCUUCCUUUCAAAUGACCCUGCACACAUGUGUUUUGCAGUGCUUAGUACACUUUACCUUGUUUCAAAAUCAUUACUAAGAAUUUAAACUUAUGAGUGAAGGUUCUAAAGUUAUUAUUUAAC